CUGUGUUGUGCUUGGCUUCGCUGAGCUGUGCUGGGCAGGUUUUGGAGCUGAUCUGGUGCUGAGUUGGCGCUGACCUGGUCCUUUGCUGUCUGGCUGCGGCUUCGGCUGGGUUGUUUGGGGUUUUGAUGCAGUGAUGCAGGGCACAGCACAAGGCGACGGCAAUACGGACUUGGGGCGCAGCAGGUCCCUCCCUACAAUAGGCAACGGGGAGAGGCAAAGCGCACGCAGGAUCAUAGGCGAGCAGUAGCAUAUUCACUGAUGUCCCCGUCAAUAAAAUCCAAAUUCCAGCUUCACCUCUUGAAGGACAGUGUAGCGUUUGAUUGCAAUCCUCCGGGAUAUUAUCCGCGAGGGUCGCUUCGCGCAAACGGUUAAUGCACCUUAAAACU
RNAcentral lists this long non-coding RNA (386 nucleotides) under Volvox carteri. Its description in RNAcentral is "long non-coding RNA (VCAR_LNC001306)". Lineage: Eukaryota; Viridiplantae; Chlorophyta; Chlorophyceae; Chlamydomonadales; Volvocaceae. The record is from RNAcentral.